RNAcentral lists this ribosomal RNA (355 nucleotides) under uncultured bacterium. RNAcentral describes it as "partial 16S ribosomal RNA". It matches the Rfam family "Bacterial small subunit ribosomal RNA", at positions 338 to 690 of the family's 1533-position model. The record is from RNAcentral.
CCUACGGGAGGCAGCAGUGAGGAAUAUUGGUCAAUGGGCGCUAGCCUGAACCAGCCAAGUAGCGUGAAGGAUGACUGCCCUAUGGGUUGUAAACUUCUUUUAUAUGGGAAUAAAGUGCAGUAUGUAUACUGCUUUGCAUGUACCUUAUGAAUAAGGAUCGGCUAACUCCGUGCCAGCAGCCGCGGUAAUACGGAGGAUUCGAGCGUUAUCCGGAUUUAUUGGGUUUAAAGGGUGCGUAGGCGGGUUGUUAAGUCAGUUGUGAAAGUUUGCGGCUCAACCGGAAAAUUGCAGUUAAUACGGGCAUCUAGGGGGACAGUAGGGGUAGGCGGAAGUCGUGGUGUGGCGGUGAAAUGCU